RNAcentral lists this ribosomal RNA (456 nucleotides) under uncultured bacterium. Its description in RNAcentral is "bacterial SSU rRNA". It matches the Rfam family "Bacterial small subunit ribosomal RNA", at positions 465 to 917 of the family's 1533-position model. The record is from RNAcentral.
GCGGAUGACGGUACCGGCAUAAGAAGCACCGGCUAACUACGUGCCAGCAGCCGCGGUAAUACGUAGGGGUGCGAGCGUUAAUCGGAAUUACUGGGCGUAAAGCGUGCGCAGGCGGUUUUGUAAGACAGGCGUGAAAUCCCCGGGCUCAACCUGGGAACUGCGUUUGUGACUGCAAGGCUAGAGUACGGCAGAGGGGGGUGGAAUUCCACGUGUAGCAGUGAAAUGCGUAGAGAUGUGGAGGAACACCGAUGGCGAAGGCAGCCCCCUGGGCCAAUACUGACGCUCAUGCACGAAAGCGUGGGGAGCAAACAGGAUUAGAUACCCUGGUAGUCCACGCCCUAAACGAUGUCAACUAGGUGUUGGGAGGGUUAAACCUUUUAGUACCGUAGCUAACGCGUGAAGUUGACCGCCUGGGGAGUACGGCCGCAAGGUUAAAAACUCAAAGGAAUUGACGGG